This 355-nucleotide transfer-messenger RNA is filed under the name Spirochaetota. RNAcentral describes it as "JAFGRW01 sp016934935 Standard tmRNA". It matches the Rfam family "transfer-messenger RNA". From Rfam's summary of the family: Bacterial tmRNA, also known as 10Sa RNA or SsrA, is named for its dual tRNA and mRNA-like properties. Lineage: Bacteria; Pseudomonadati. RNAcentral also lists the same sequence under 1 other name. The record is from RNAcentral.
GGGGACGCCUUGGUUUCGACUGCUCUGUUGCAGCAGUAAUUGCAUGCCGAUUGCGCUGGCACAUCGUAAAAAUGUCAGGCCUAAAUGUAAUUGCAGAUGAAAAUCUAGCACUAGCUGCCUAAUAGUGUAGCUACGUCUUAUUGGUUGCCUUCCUUCGGCGGCUUAUCGGACGUCAUUAAUGAAGGAUAGUCUGUCUCAUCUUCACUCGUGAGCCGGGCGAAUUUAUAGAGUGAUCGGUUUCAGGUAGGGUCUUCUGUCCUCCGGCCUGUCUCUUAAAUUUAAUGGAUAGAAUAAGCAUGUAGACGUUGCUGUUGUGAAUUGCAGGACGCGGGUUCGAUCCCCGCCGUCUCCACAG